AUGACAGGAGUGGGGGGUGUUGUGUCGGGGAGGCGCGCGCAGCAGCCGACAUCGCGGAGAGCCAUUUCGUGGCGCAGCCGGUCCUCGCGCUCGGCUGCGGUGCCACACUUGUCAGCUGUAGAAGGCAGUUGGGCGCUCAGCGCCGUUGCUGCUGCUGCUCCUGCUGCUGCUGCUGCUGCCGCGCCGCCGCCGCCGCCGCGAGAGCCUGGUCAGUUCGUCAGCAGCCUCGCGAGCCGGAGACGAUUGCGCCCCGCUGCAUUGCCAUAUAUGGUGCGAAAAAAAAGCGGCAGCCUCGAGCGCGGUUUUCCGGCCACUCGGCACAAAGGGGAAUUUGCAGCGCGCUGCAGCUCCUUUAUCUCUCUUUUCCUCCCUUCUACGACUAUUCGAUGCCGAGGUUCGACGUUCUCUCCGGCGACAAAGAAGACUCACAGAUGUGAGACAAGCGAGAUUAAUCCACCCAGUGUAGAAAAAUGUCGUUGGAACGUUUUCUCUGUCUAUUACGCACAGCUUCAGUCUUUAUUGCAGGGUCAGUAAAUGACGAAGGUUUUGGCUCAGGUCCCAGGGGGGUGGUUAAAAAAAAGUGUAGCAGGAAUUCUCUGGCGCGUCCCACACUGUGUGUGUGUGUGUGUGUGUGUGUCCUCGUGUCCUCGGACCAGGCGCCAGGUUCUGCGUUUCGCUGCCCGAAGAGUCUCUUAUUUUAUUGCUCUAAAGGAGACGCGACUCCCGCACUGUCGGCAAGUCCAUACGCAGAAUGGAGGACGGGACAGGACAUGACGUGACGUUUCGAGUCGUGUCCGCGAGCGUCCAGCAGCCGCACAAGUAGCCCUGGCGCGAGCGCGCACCCACCACGUAGGCUCGUGUAACGCGGCGGGUCACGAGGUCAUCUUUGCCUAUUGUGUCGCUUCUCACUUGGAAACGUGCUUGGAAAACGGCGCUGCGGUGUUUUGGGCGCGGAAAAGCGCGGCACGCUUAACACACGGUUCGGCCCUUGUUUUGAGCCUGCGGACUGGAAGACGGAGUAAGACUUUAAUGUUCCCUUUAGCUGUGUUAUGAAGGCUGCGCGCGAGAGCUGUUCUCGAGCUAAUGAAGACACGCAUGAAUCAUCAUGUUUGCUUGGAUGUGUGGUGAGCGAUAAAAGAAAGUCAAGAUAUUCAAACCGAAAACAUUGCACAUUUGGGGUUGUUUUUUUUUAAUUAAAUCUCCCUUCUGAUUCAUUCGAGUAAAAUUCAGUUUAAACCAGGAUCUGCAAUGUGCUACUACCCCGACAGGUCGUAUGAAAAGGGUGGCUCCUCAUUUCUUCAUUGGUGUAUCAGACAAUUAUUCUUAAUCACCGCCCAUUGUGUAAGAAUUUCUUUCACAGUCACCUUUUCCUAAACCGGAUCCGGUUGAAACGAAUUAUGUAGUAUUUAAUCUUUUUAAUCUCGGCUCAUGUAGCAAGAACGAGCCAUUCCGAUUCAACAUUUGGGGCUUCUCCCUCUUCACUCCCGUUACUCUGUAGCCCACGUUAGAACUAGACGCGCAGAUGACAUUUAAAUUAAUCUGAUAUGCAGUUAGAUUAAAUAUGAAAGAUUAAAGCUCCCCAGACUUCAAAAAUAUAAACAUACUGAGUAUAGUUACAACUCCUCAAAGCCAGAUGAACCCUACAAGAACACUCGGUUGCGCUAGUAAUAUUUUGCAUUGCAUAUUACAUUUGCAUUUAUUUGCAGACGCUUUUCUCAAAGCGACUUACAAUAGAUUCUAUGUAGUGUUACCUGCCCACACACCUUAUUCACCAGGGUGAUUUACACUACUAGAUACACUACUUACAAUGGGUCAUUCAUCCAUACAUCAGUGAAACACACUCACGCACUAUUUUUUUUAAUUUAUGUUUUUGUUAUUGAGUUCACUCGUGAUUAUUAUAAUUCAAUAUCAUGUUUGAUAUAUAUUUUAAGCCUGCUGUUAUCCUCUUUUGAUAUAAAUUAUAGCCCUAUACAUGUAAUCAUAUCAAAAUGUAAAUUUGACAUUACCUGGCGGGUGCAGUUACCACGUUUCCUGUAGCCCUUGCUUUUGUAUUUGCUUGUGUGCCUUAAGCACCGCACAUCAUCAGUCGCCUUGCACAAAGGUGCGCGCCAAAUAAUGGAAAUAUUGAAAUAUGAUGAUAGUUUAUAUUUCAAAUGGAGAGUUUGCGCCCGGGUACAAAUCAAAUACGGUAAGUGCGAGGUAAUCCUUCCUGCCAUAGUGAUACCCGAGGACUGCACAGUGUGGUUUUGCAGAUGAUGGGCCCUGGGACCUCCAGGCUGUCUGGUUACUGUGGUACAAUGUGAUGGUGCACCACCCUUGUGACAUGUGCGGCGGAGCCCCUUCCAGCGGUCUGCGAUGGCGUCACCGGCCCCGUUAAACCUGGGCGUGUCCCCCAUGCCGCUGUGUUUACGGACCCGCCGAGCUCCCGUUUCCAAGGCAACCGAAAGUCGCUGCGGGUUCUGUAAUCCAUCCGUUAUUUCUGAGUGAAGUCUCUCUGCAUUCAUUUAUAUACGCUUCGUUACCCAAGAAAUACCGCACUCGCAAUGCUUGAAGGACAAGUAAAUAUGGUUUUGUCGUAAAUAUUGUAUUUGUUUUUCUACCACGUAAAAUGCCAAAAUCUGAAUGAACUAUUUCAGUUAAUCAGUGGUCAUCUGAAUAUUAUCUCGACGGUUCUUGGGUUUUAAUAAGUGUGUUUUAAAUUAAAAACUAAAUUAUUUAGAAAUGAGUGAAAAGGAAAACGGUGCUACAUUCGCACAAACCGAAAGGCGACUCCACAUCCAUCACUGUUCGAUAACCAACUUCACCAUGAUUUAUCCAUAUAUACAGCAGGGUAUUACUGCUAUAAGACUGGCGUCUGCUUCGCUCAAGGGGGUACCACUGCAGCGGUGGGAUUCGAACCAGGAACCUGCGAAUUGCAAGCGGACGGCGGUAAAUACUUCGCCACCUGCUGGUAGACAGGAUUAUUGCCGUCACGCGCGGCUUUAAAUCUGCAUUUCUGAUAAUAAUGUGACGUUUUCCACAUGCUGGUAAUGUUUUACCAGAAAAUGCUUUCUUGAAAUAAAUUUCUGUUUAAUAAAAAAUGAAUAUUUGCU
Molecule: long non-coding RNA, 3092 nt
Organism: Scleropages formosus (Asian bonytongue)
Lineage: Eukaryota; Metazoa; Chordata; Actinopteri; Osteoglossiformes; Osteoglossidae
Source: Ensembl